GACGAACGCUGGCGGCGUGCUUAACACAUGCAAGUCGAACGGUGAAGGUGGAGCUUGCUCCGCCGGAUCAGUGGCGAACGGGUGAGUAACACGUGGGCAACCUGCCCCUGACUUCGGGAUAACUCCUCGAAAGAGGUGCUAAUACCGGAUACGAAUCCUGCAGGCAUCUGCGGGAUUGGAAAGUUUUUCGGUAAGGGAUGGGCCCGCGGCCUAUCAGCUGGUUGGUGAGGUAGUGCCUUACCAAGGCGACGACGGGUAGCCGGCCUGAGUGGGCGACCGGCCACACUGGGACUGAGACACGGCCCAGACUCCUACGGGAGGCAGCAGUGGGGAAUAUUGCGCAAUGGGCGAAAGCCUGACGCAGCAACGCCGCGUGAGGGAUGACGGCCUUCGGGUUGUAAACCUCUUUCAGCAGGGAAGAAGCGAAAGUGACGGUACCUGCAGAAGAAGCACCGGCUAACUACGUGCCAGCCGCCGCCGUAA
Molecule: ribosomal RNA, 483 nt
Filed under: uncultured bacterium
Lineage: Bacteria
Description: partial 16S ribosomal RNA
Rfam family: Bacterial small subunit ribosomal RNA
Source: RNAcentral